AUUGAACGCUGGCGGCAGGCCUAACACAUGCAAGUCGAGCGGUAGCACAGAGAGCUUGCUCUCGGGUGACGAGCGGCGGACGGGUGAGUAAUGUCUGGGAAACUGCCUGAUGGAGGGGGAUAACUACUGGAAACGGUAGCUAAUACCGCAUAACGUCGCAAGACCAAAGUGGGGGACCUUCGGGCCUCAUGCCAUCAGAUGUGCCCAGAUGGGAUUAGCUAGUAGGUGGGGUAAUGGCUCACCUAGGCGACGAUCCCUAGCUGGUCUGAGAGGAUGACCAGCCACACUGGAACUGAGACACGGUCCAGACUCCUACGGGAGGCAGCAGUGGGGAAUAUUGCACAAUGGGCGCAAGCCUGAUGCAGCCAUGCCGCGUGUGUGAAGAAGGCCUUCGGGUUGUAAAGCACUUUCAGCGGGGAGGAAGGCGGUGAGGUUAAUAACCUCAUCGAUUGACGUUACCCGCAGAAGAAGCACCGGCUAACUCCGUGCCAGCAGCCGCGGUAAUACGGAGGGUGCAAGCGUUAAUCGGAAUUACUGGGCGUAAAGCGCACGCAGGCGGUCUGUCAGUCGGAUGUGAAACCCCCGGGCUCAACCUGGGAACUGCAUUCGAAACUGGCAGGCUAGAGUCUUGUAGAGGGGGGUAGAAUUCCAGGUGUAGCGGUGAAAUGCGUAGAGAUCUGGAGGAAUACCGGUGGCGAAGGCGGCCCCCUGGACAAAGACUGACGCUCAGGUGCGAAAGCGUGGGGAGCAAACAGGAUUAGACACCCUGGUAGUCCACGCCGUAAACGAUGUCGAUUUGGAGGUUGUGCCCUUGAGGCGUGGCUUCCGGAGCUAACGCGUUAAAUCGACCGCCUGGGGAGUACGGCCGCAAGGUUAAAACUCAAAUGAAUUGACGGGGGCCCGCACAAGCGGUGGAGCAUGUGGUUUAAUUCGAUGCAACGCGAAGAACCUUACCUGGUCUUGACAUCCACAGAACUUUCCAGAGAUGGAUUGGUGCCUUCGGGAACUGUGAGACAGGUGCUGCAUGGCUGUCGUCAGCUCGUGUUGUGAAAUGUUGGGUUAAGUCCCGCAACGAGCGCAACCCUUAUCCUUUGUUGCCAGCGGUCCGGCCGGGAACUCAAAGGAGACUGCCAGUGAUAAACUGGAGGAAGGUGGGGAUGACGUCAAGUCAUCAUGGCCCUUACGACCAGGGCUACACACGUGCUACAAUGGCAUAUACAAAGAGAAGCGACCUCGCGAGAGCAAGCGGACCUCAUAAAGUAUGUCGUAGUCCGGAUUGGAGUCUGCAACUCGACUCCAUGAAGUCGGAAUCGCUAGUAAUCGUAGAUCAGAAUGCUACGGUGAAUACGUUCCCGGGCCU
This 1360-nucleotide ribosomal RNA is filed under the name uncultured bacterium. RNAcentral's name for it is "bacterial SSU rRNA". It matches the Rfam family "Bacterial small subunit ribosomal RNA", at positions 28 to 1381 of the family's 1533-position model. The record is from RNAcentral.